AACAAACGCUGGCGGCGUGCCUAAUACAUGCAAGUCGAACGGGGAAAGCUUUCGGGUGAGUACUAGUGGCGCACGGGUGAGGAACGCGUGGAUAAUCUGCCUUAGAGUGGGGGAUAACUAGUCGAAAGAUUAGCUAAUACCGCAUAAGACCACGAGAGCUGCGGCUUUUGAGGUCAAAGGUUUUUCGCUCUAAGAUGAGUCCGCGUAAGAUUAGCUUGUUGGUGAGGUAACGGCUCACCAAGGCGACGAUCUUUAACUGGUCUGAGAGGAUGAUCAGUCACACUGGAACUGAGACACGGUCCAGACUCCUACGGGAGGCAGCAGUAGGGAAUAUUGCACAAUGGAGGAAACUCUGAUGCAGCGACGCCGCGUGAGUGAUGAAGGCCUUCGGGUCGUAAAGCUCUGUCGCAGGGGAAUAACACAAUGAAGGUACCCUGUAAGAAAGGAUCGGCUAACUUCGUG
Molecule: ribosomal RNA, 462 nt
Filed under: uncultured bacterium
Lineage: Bacteria
Description: partial 16S ribosomal RNA
Rfam family: Bacterial small subunit ribosomal RNA
Source: RNAcentral